This 202-nucleotide long non-coding RNA is filed under the name Mytilus galloprovincialis (Mediterranean mussel). Lineage: Eukaryota; Metazoa; Mollusca; Bivalvia; Mytilida; Mytilidae. The record is from RNAcentral.
CACUAGGUUGAUACAUUUGCUGGUAGACUGUCAGUCUCCUAGAUAUAUGGUUUAAAUAUGUUUUUUAUAAUAUUACUUAUGUAAACCAACAUCAGAUGUUGAUAAGAGAUGUAUUACCAAAAUAAGACUUAGAAGUCUGAUUAAGCUAUAGAUUUUGACGGGAUUUUUUGCAUCAUAAGAGGUAAAAUUAUUGGAGAACACC